UACGUAGGGUGCGAGCGUUAAUCGGAAUUACUGGGCGUAAAGCGUGCGCAGGCGGUGAUGUAAGACAGGUGUGAAAUCCCCGGGCUUAACCUGGGAACUGCAUUUGUGACUGCAUUGCUGGAGUGCGGCAGAGGGGGAUGGAAUUCCGCGUGUAGCAGUGAAAUGCGUAGAUAUGCGGAGGAACACCGAUGGCGAAGGCAAUCCCCUGGGCCUGCACUGACGCUCAUGUGCGAAAGCGUGGGGAGCAAACAGG
Molecule: ribosomal RNA, 253 nt
Filed under: uncultured bacterium
Lineage: Bacteria
Description: partial 16S ribosomal RNA
Rfam family: Bacterial small subunit ribosomal RNA
Source: RNAcentral